UUUGAGUGCAUUCCAGAUUUUUUCGUGUU
This 29-nucleotide small RNA is filed under the name Bombyx mori (domestic silkworm). RNAcentral's name for it is "ovarian small RNA-38384". Lineage: Eukaryota; Metazoa; Arthropoda; Insecta; Lepidoptera; Bombycidae. The record is from RNAcentral.